Anguilla rostrata (American eel) is the source of this 4812-nucleotide long non-coding RNA. RefSeq lists it as uncharacterized. The record is from RefSeq and is a predicted model, not a curated record. Lineage: Eukaryota; Metazoa; Chordata; Actinopteri; Anguilliformes; Anguillidae. The transcript is spliced from 3 exons.
CGGCCAACGUCCCCACUCUCCUCCAGUCAUCAACGGAUGGAGGGAAUUUGGCUGGAACCCUGAUGCUUAAUCCGUACCUCCCGACCACAGCUGGGGCCCUUGCCUUGCGAGGUGCAUCGUGUACGCACCCUGUGGAUCCCAAUCCCUGUGAACCACAGCGGCCUCCACAACGUGUUUCUCGGGGGAAAAGAGAAGAAAGACAGAAAGAACAGGGCAGUACUGACUAAGGAGCAGUGGAAGGAGCGCAAAAUACUUUCCAGUUCCUGUGUCCUGGCAGCCCCAGUGUCAGACCCAAACACUGCCCCCCAGACAUCUCCCACCACACCCCCUCCCCGCCAAAAAAAAAAGGCUGCAUGCAGGGAUACAAAUGACCCAACCCUUCAUCUGUUUUCCAGUAGGAAGCCUGCAGUCCUACCCCAGUGCAGGGCUGUUCUGCAGCACAUGACUUCUUCAGUGUACCCUCCUGCUCUUAUUUACUUCCAUGUGACACACCUCAUACUCCUCACCGGUACGAGGAGUCGCUAACGCUACGGAGACUCCGUCGCAUGGCUGAUCUGCUCCAAAGCCAGGGCACGCUCGACAGUGCACUCCGCAUGCGCCCGUCUCACUCCAGGGAUGGAUGCCAGGGACGUUGCCAUGGUGUCCUUCGUUGGCUCGAAACCAUGGCAACCGUGCCUGCGGAAUCCUAGGGGGAAGCUACGAGUGAGCCGCAGUGACUGCGGGGGGGGGGUAGCAGACGGCACGUCACCAUGCUGGUUUGCGGAAACGAUGCACAGUCAGCAGACAAUGCAGGGAAUCAUAUCCUGCGAGCUGUGAAUGCAGUGUUGUGAUCUGGGGAGGUUGCACGCUAAAGGUCCAAUAUGUAGGCCACGAUAUGCUAGGUGCGCUAUCUUUAAACAGACACGGGUUGGUUUUCCGUGGAACACGAGUAUGCCAGACUAAUGCGCUGGCAAUUUAAGAGCGUUUGUGGCUAAUAACUGAAUUUCCCAGUCCUGUCUCUUAAUACUGAUUGUCUGUUCCUCCACUGGGGAAAGACUCCUAUUCCACUCGGCUCGGCUGUAAAAACAAAACGCAGCUGCCCCAUUGCAAACCCCAGACCACAUACAGAGAUCUAAUUCUGGAGGCCUUCACGGUUUUCCUCAACUGUUUAUACACAGGAACAGGUCCUCCAGACAUAACGAUUAAAAGCUGAAGCUCAUGUGUUAAACGACUCAAAUCUUUUGCCAAAACUGUGAGCAUAUUAUGAAUGGCACUCAAACUGCAGUUCAAGUUCAUGCUUUUGCAAGUACUUCACAAGUAUCUCCGAGACUCAAACACAGUUUAGCUAAGCCUCUUGUACUCACUUGGAAAAAUACUUCUGAAAAUAUCUAAACACAAUCGGCGAUAUCAAUAACAAUUUUUCUUAUUUUAUGACCUAAGAAGAAAAAAAACAUGUUUCUGACAGGUUUAUUGUUAGAAGUAUUUCUUACUCCAAUUAUUUGUAAAUACUGUAGCAUAUGGAAUAUUAUUUUGAACAACUGGCAAAUUUUUAUAACAACAAUAAUAAUAAGGCCAUUUUAAUGCAUAUACACUGAUGCAUUCCAAAGAUAUGCCAGAGAAUAUAUAUAUUUUUAAAUCUUUUGUCCAGUCAGCACAUAAAACCAGAGACCCUUGUUGAAUUGUAGUCAGGAAUGUGGGGACAGGAUUUUCUUCUCUGUAUUUUGAAGUGACUCCAAAGUUUGGGGAAGGAGGACACAGUGGAGCCGUUCCACCAUGCAGUGCGUGUGGCCCACAGUCAGCUGUCACAGCUGAUUCUUUUUAAACGCCAGGUCAGAUCUUCCCAUAGCAGAACAGGGUAGUAUUUCACGAAGCAGGGUCACUGAGUUAGCUGGAUAACUGCGCUGAGAAAAACCCGGAACAGCUCUUAAAACUUUGGUCCAUGUUCCAGAUUUGGGAAGGUUCCGGGUUUUACUUGGUGCCAUUGCCCAGCUAACUCUUUAUCUUUAGCUAGCAGCUUUAUCUCUGCAUCUGUGUCCCAGUUGCGGCUAAGCUAAUGCAGGAUUUCUGACUUGCCACUAAGACUUACUGAUUCUCUCUGCCCUGCUCAGAACCCGGUCCUCUAUCCACACAGCUGCCCAAGGCUUUGAGAAGAGCGGCCGAGGUGGGAGGAGCUUGAGACAGAGCCUUCACCUGGAGGCCGUGGUGGGAGGAGCUUGAGACAGAGCCUUCGCCUGGGUGCCGUGGUGGGAGGAGCUUGAGACAGAGCCUCCACCUGGGGGCCGUGGUGGGAGGAGCUUAAGACAGAGCCUUCGCCUGGGUGCCGUGGUGGGAGGAGCUUGAGACAGAGCCUCCACCUGGGUGCCGUGGUGGGAGGAGCUUAAGACAGAGCCUUCGCCUGGGUGCCGUGGUGGGAGGAGCUUAAGACAGAGCCUUCGCCUGGGUGCCGUGGUGGGAGGAGCUUGAGACAGAGCCGUCACCUGCAUGCUAAAUAAAGGUUAAUUAAAGGCAGGUAACCACUGCAGGCUUGUCCCCAGCCUCCAAGAUAACUAAAGUGUAUAAACCUGGCACAGCCCUGCCUGUGGUAAACAUUGUAAAUUCAAGCUCCUCUCCAGGCCAAAUGCAAAAAAUAAAUAAAUAAAUAAAAGAAUGUAGCAGACGUAAACACAAAUAAUCCUUUAGAUACCCAUUUCAGCACACAAUAGUUGUUUUACAACCGCUGCCUGAAACAUUAAAAAAUGAGAAUAAUCCUCAUUCUGUUAAAAAAAUGUGGUGGUUAGCGAUGAUUUCCAGGUCUUGUUGAACUCGCACUUGAACUGAAAGGCCUGGAAAAACGAGGGCGCAGACGAAACUGCCACACAGCACGUUUCCGCGCCAAACCAAGCAGCGCUGGCUCCCGGGCGCGGGGCUGCUGAUGGUCCCGUUCCACGAAAAAACUGAGCUGUUGGCAGGCCCGAGGUCCGGUUUUUAUUUAUUUCCAGUGGAACGGCUACGCAGCUACGCCGAGCCUGUCUCCGGUGCGCCGCUCUGGCCAGAAACCCCGGCUAGCAACAACAGCGGAGAACCCAGAGAGCGCCGGUCAGCGGGACCCGCCGCGGGGGCUCCUGGAACACGCUCUGGCGCGCGGCCGUCCGCUGCUCCCGUGCGUUUCGGCUGGAGGUGAGCGAGGCGGACGAGCGACUCCCACUUCGCCUGAUUGCUAACGCAUGUGGGGCUGGCCCCGCCUGCCAAAAAAAGUCCAUGGAACCGGUCUAAAAUUUACAAUACAGUGAGGUACCGGCUGGAGGAAGCGCUUCCAGAUGUUUCGUGCCCUGAUUUCGAACAUAAUGCAUCACCUGAGCUCAGAACUGCAGAUUCUACCAGGUAUGGCCCCUGGGGACAGACGGGAGCACAAAGUAAAACCUGAUCAGGACAACAAAGAAUGUUGUCGACGGCAGCUAGGGCAUUUGCCGUUGAAGUGAAAAAUUAUUUAACUUUUUACCACGAUAUUCAAUGGAAUUGUGUUGUGUCCGGAUAUGACACAACACAACACAUGGAAAACGAGAAAUUAACUUCAACGACAAGUACCGUCUGCCGCUGCCAUGGACGGCAUUCCUUGCCCCUAAUCAUGCCCCUCACCGCUAUACUUGUCCACUACGGUUUGCCAUCUACCGUGAUCCGUGUGAUCGCAGCAUUAGUAGUUCUUCAUCUUCACCCAAUGUUAAAGUAUUUCCUGAAAAGUGAUCAUCCAAGGUAACAGUACCCCCAUCCACAGAGCAUGAGUUGCUCAAUGGGGUGAGGAGGUCGACAUACAUAUGUAGAUAUGAAACCUAAACCUGGCUGAGCAUAUGAUUUCCAGUAGCAGGAGUUGAGUGACUUUCGCCUGGAAGAGUGGUGUCAGCACCAGAAGAGUUCCACAUGCUGGUUGCCCCUACGUCCUGAACCAUACAAGCAGUACUGGCCACGUGUGGUGGCCUAAUACUCUGGUCUACUGACUGUGUAUUGGUUUCAAUUUUUUGUUCACUUCCAAUAAUCUGGUAUCCUCUAGUUCUAAAACAUUUUCCACAUAUCUCUACUGCCAUCUGGUGGUGAUGUGGCACACAUGCAGAUUAUUCCCAAUGAAGGAUUGCUCCAGUGUUGCAAAGUAUUUUACAGAUGUCCUGAAUUAUGUAUUACGUCUCGGAUGUUAUUUAUGUCUAGAAUGUAUGUCCUCACGAGGAGACAAAUUUCCAAAAAAAAAAUAUGGAUGAUAAAGUCUAAUUAGAUUAGUACAAAAAAAUAAAAUAAAAAUCUAACGCUCAAAACCAAGUGUGGCAUGGUAAUGCAGCGAAUAACGCUGUCGCCUCGCAGCAAGAAGGCACCGAGUUGGAGUCCUGACCGAGGGCCUUUCUGUGUAGCGUUUGCACUGUCUGGCAGAUAAUGACCGACAGUAAUAUUCCAGCACUGUCACAUGCUGCAGAUUCCUUCCUCUCGUCCAGCCUAGGCCAUUACAGCAGCCAAUCGCUUUCACGAGGGAUCAGUUAGUCAGGUGAUCGCCACAGUCUAAUGCCUACAGUGACCCCGAGAGGAUUCAGAUGGUACUGCACAGUGAUUUUGGGUCAUGUGCCCUAGUUGUAGAUGAACUGCUGUUCCUAAUUAUAAUUUAAUGAGUCGGAAAGUCCUUGCACGUCCUGAAGGGCUUCAUUAUGAUUCUGUGAUUACUGUAUAUGCAGGAAUAUCAGCUGCCUCUCCGUUUCAUACAGCAUAUAAACAGCUAAUUCGGAAAAUGACAAAUCAAGUUAAGGACUAUUAUCCAGAAGACUGCAUUCAAAUGUCCUUCAUAGUCUCAAUCACGUGCUAUUGUAAUAUUUAACACCC